This is a non-coding RNA of Engraulis encrasicolus (European anchovy), 577 nucleotides long. NCBI's taxonomy places the organism in Eukaryota, Metazoa, Chordata, Actinopteri, Clupeiformes, Engraulidae. The record is from the annotation of a RefSeq genome assembly.
AAUGCUCUUGGCACAGCUGAAGGCUCCAACUGAGACAGCAGCACCUACAGCAGCAAUGAUGUUGAUCCCACUCUUCCUCAGCUCUCUCCUCUUCCUCAUUCAAGAUUCCAAGGGGCAGGUGACCAUUAGUCAAACUCCAGUAAUGACCACCAGUCCAGGAGGCACAGUCACAAUCACCUGCAGACGCAGUGGAAGCAUUUACCAAGACUGUGGUCCACCAGCAUGUAUCUCCUGGUACCAUCAGAAGCCUGGGGAGAAACCCAAACUCCUCAUCUACAGAGUGAAGACCCGGUCUGGUAUUCCUGCUAGAUUCAGUGGCAGUGGAUCUGGGAAUGACUACAGUUUGACCAUCAGUGGAGUCCUGAAUGAAGAUGCUGGAGAUUAUUACUGCAUGAGUGCUCAUAGGCGUUUUGGUAGCGGUACCUGGGAGUUCACAGUGAUACAGAGUCGUGCAAAAACCUCCCCAGUCAGCUACAGGUCCCUCGCACUGGGGUCACCGAUCCUGGGGGUCCUUCACAUGGAAUUACGGCUCACACACAAUGGCUACGCUUCAGAUGGCCUCAUGGUACCCAUCUGA